This 413-nucleotide long non-coding RNA is filed under the name Equus caballus (horse). RNAcentral's name for it is "lncRNA (ENSECAG00000045211.1)". The record is from RNAcentral. Lineage: Eukaryota; Metazoa; Chordata; Mammalia; Perissodactyla; Equidae.
CCUAACUAAGGUCGACCCAUCUACUUUUCAUGUGGAAGAAGCACUGGAAGCCCUGAGAGAGUGAGGACAAAUGAGGGAAAUGGUCCCAACAAGUACUCAGUGAUGCUGUCAGGUUCAUAAUGUAUAGUCUCAUAAAGGAGCAGCACCUUUUCCUCCAACAAAGAGGAAGAGACAAAGGAAAAAAUAGAAGAAGAUAUGAAAGAGUCACAAUAAGACUUUGAGGACUGAAGGGGAAAGGAAGAUUCAGGUUGCCUGUCCCUGCUGAUUUCUCCUUAUGCAAAGAGUAAGAGCUGGAGGCCACGGGUCAAUGUUAAUACUCUGGUGACUUUCUAUGUUCUGGAAGGAAGUGCUGCAGCAUUUUUUGGUUUUGGCAGGAAUAUAUUUUGCAGCAAUAAAGAUCAUCUUGCUACACA